RNAcentral lists this long non-coding RNA (997 nucleotides) under Homo sapiens (human). Its description in RNAcentral is "HSALNT0370653". Lineage: Eukaryota; Metazoa; Chordata; Mammalia; Primates; Hominidae. The record is from RNAcentral.
GAACCCUGAUGCAGUGAACGCAGGCGCAGGCUCUGGAGUGAGAAAUUUGGGCAGGAAAGCAAGAUGAGCAGUUCAUUGGUUUUGAUGCCGGAAAUUCUUUGGACAUACAAAGAUCUCACGAUGGAAAAUACUCUCUUCAGCAAUUGCAGUGCUCCUAAUCCCCAGCAUGGCAUCUUCCUUGCUAUUUAUCUAGGGGCCAGCGAAAGACACGCGCUCGACUUAGCAAGAUAGGGGCUAGACAAACCACGGUGAGGAAAACGGCACCUACAAGUCUUCCCAGACAGCUGUCUGCAGUUGAAAUUGAACGGCUUGCAGUAAACUUCUUGGAGGAGAAUUGGCAUUGCAAGGGUGUUACUGGAGACCUCGGCAAGAAAGUGAAUGCAAAGACAGAUGACCCAGGAACCCGUGAUGGAUAAGGCUCUUGACAGCCAGGACGUGGAAUUACAGGGGGUCUCUUUGAGAGACAAAAUAAAAAAAAUAGCCCAGUAAUCUUCCUUCCACCCUUUUCUCCCAGAUCUAAUUACAGAUGUCUUGACAUUCCUUCUGCAUAGAAUUUCCUUAAAAGAUUUGCCAAGAAGAAACAUUUGGAAACUGUGUUUUAGGUAUAAUCCGUCUGGGAGUCACUCUUGCUCGCUUUGUCGUUAGAUGACAAAACGCUUAAUUACAGCGAGCACAAUGUAUACCACAUUUGGAAAACUGGAUUCUUGACCUAAAUAAUGUACCCCAUACUGACAAUGGCCUUUUGGCAAAACUUGUGUCUCUGAUCUCACAUUAAUUACUACACAAAUAUACUUAUUGUGGGCACCGAGUUUAUGGGAUGGAGUCCUCUUGACACAUGUUCACCAUAAAAACACAUUUUUUUCCCUUCCCCUGACCCUAAGGAAAAGAAAAAAAAAAAGAUUAACAUUUUUCAAGAUGCUGUUUUAGUGACAUGAAAACUGUCUGUUGAGUGUUCACUCGGCUUUUGUUCUUUUUCUUUUCUCCUUUUAUUAAAAAG